AUAUGAGAGACUACCACGAU
RNAcentral lists this non-coding RNA (20 nucleotides) under Rattus norvegicus (Norway rat). The record is from RNAcentral. Lineage: Eukaryota; Metazoa; Chordata; Mammalia; Rodentia; Muridae.